This 467-nucleotide ribosomal RNA is filed under the name uncultured bacterium. Its description in RNAcentral is "partial 16S ribosomal RNA". It matches the Rfam family "Bacterial small subunit ribosomal RNA", at positions 29 to 507 of the family's 1533-position model. The record is from RNAcentral.
ACGAACGCUGGCGGCGUGCUUAACACAUGCAAGUCGAACGGAAAGGCCCUGCUUUUGUGGGGUGCUCGAGUGGCGAACGGGUGAGUAACACGUGAGUAACCUGCCCUUGACUUUGGGAUAACUUCAGGAAACUGGGGCUAAUACCGGAUAGGAGCUCCUGCUGCAUGGUGGGGGUUGGAAAGUUUCGGCGGUUGGGGAUGGACUCGCGGCUUAUCAGCUUGUUGGUGGGGUAGUGGCUUACCAAGACUUUGACGGGUAGCCGGCCUGAGAGGGUGACCGGCCACAUUGGGACUGAGAUACGGCCCAGACUCCUACGGGAGGCAGCAGUGGGGAAUAUUGCACAAUGGGCGGAAGCCUGAUGCAGCAACGCCGCGUGCGGGAUGACGGCCUUCGGGUUGUAAACCGCUUUCGCCUGUGACGAAGCGUGAGUGACGGUAAUGGGUAAAGAAGCACCGGCUAACUACGUG